UACGUAGGGGGCUAGCGUUGUCCGGAAUCAUUGGGCGUAAAGAGCGUGUAGGCGGUCCGGUAAGUCCGCUGUGAAAGUCGGGGGCUCAACCCUCGAAUGCCGGUGGAUACUGUCGGGCUCGAGUGCGGAAGAGGCGAGUGGAAUUCCUGGUGUAGCGGUGAAAUGCGCAGAUAUCAGGAGGAACACCGGUGGCGAAGGCGGGUCUCUGGGCCGAUACUGACGCUGAGGAGCGAAAGCGUGGGGAGCGAACAGG
RNAcentral lists this ribosomal RNA (253 nucleotides) under uncultured bacterium. Its description in RNAcentral is "partial 16S ribosomal RNA". It matches the Rfam family "Bacterial small subunit ribosomal RNA", at positions 524 to 776 of the family's 1533-position model. The record is from RNAcentral.